GUGGAUGUAGUGUGUGUACUGUGAAUACAGGAUGUUUGUGUAGUGGAUGCUGUGUGUACAGUUAAUGCAGAGUGUAUGUUAGUGUAGUGAAUGCAGAGUGUGUGUCAGUAUAGUGAAUCCAGAGUGUAUGCAUAGUUUAGUGAAUGCAGAGUGUGUGUUAGUGUGUAGUGAAUGCAAAGUGUGUCAGUGUAAUGAAUGUAGUGUGUGUGUUAGUGCAG
Molecule: non-coding RNA, 218 nt
Organism: Pelobates cultripes (western spadefoot toad)
Lineage: Eukaryota; Metazoa; Chordata; Amphibia; Anura; Pelobatidae
Source: the annotation of a GenBank genome assembly